Long non-coding RNA from Calidris pugnax (ruff), 284 nucleotides. RefSeq lists it as uncharacterized. The record is from RefSeq and is a predicted model, not a curated record. Lineage: Eukaryota; Metazoa; Chordata; Aves; Charadriiformes; Scolopacidae. The transcript has 4 exons.
GUAAGCAAGCAGUGGAGCUGGAAACCUGGCAGUAAACUCUUUUGUCUUUCCCGCUUGUAUCCGUGGAGCCUGUAUUUUGCAAGGCUGGCAAGAAGAUAAGCAGUCUGGAGGAGGAAAGUAGUGGAAGACUCGCACCACAAGUGUGAGCAAUAAGCAGUUUCAACCUGGUACAGUGAUCAUCUCCAGGACUGGGACCCACUAAGUCUUAAGGUUUGUUUCUGAGUGUGGUGCCAUGAGAGAUGCUGUGGUCCAUGACAGGUUGGGAUUACCAUGAUCAAGUGCUC